This 398-nucleotide ribosomal RNA is filed under the name Haptophyta environmental samples. RNAcentral describes it as "partial small subunit ribosomal RNA". It matches the Rfam family "Eukaryotic small subunit ribosomal RNA", at positions 30 to 432 of the family's 1831-position model. Lineage: Eukaryota; Haptophyta. The record is from RNAcentral.
GCUUGUCUCAAAGAUUAAGCCAUGCAUGUCUAAGUAUAAACGAUUUUAUACGUGAAACUGCGAAUGGCUCAUUAUAUCAGUUAUAGUUUAUUUGAUGGUCCUUACUACUUGGAUAACCGUAGUAAUUCUAGAGCUAAUACAUGCAUCAAGCCCUGACUUCGGAAGGGGUGUAUUUAUUAGAUCCAACCAGCCCGGUUCGCCGGAGUCCCUGGUGAGUCAUAAUAACUGAGCGAAUCGCAUGGCCUUGUGCCGGCGAUGGUUCAUUCAAGUUUCUGCCCUAUCAGCUUUCGAUGGUAGGGUAUUGGCCUACCAUGGCGUUAACGGGUAACGGAGAAUUAGGGUUCGAUUCCGGAGAGGGAGCCUGAGAAACGGCUACCACAUCCAAGGAAGGCAGCAGG